UGUCCCGAGUUCAUCGGGGGCCUUGUUGUCUCCUUCUGCAGAAGGAGCGGCUCCGUCGUCCCGGCGGCUCAUCAUGCCCCUUCCACCGAGCAGCGGGAAGGGUCCCGCAAAGCCCCUUGCCCCGCUGGUCCCUCUUUCAAAGCUGAUCCCCAUCACACAGUCGAGAAGAAACUAGAGGUGUCUGAGGCGGACCUCGCCAAGAUGAAGGAGCUCUACGCCGGCUCCAACGACCGGUACAAGGGCCUGGAGGCACGAUUGGACGAGCUCCACAGCCAUAUGGACGAGCUGAAGAAAUCCCUCCGGGUUAGCUACACAGCCCUCCACCAAACUGCCACUAGUCUGGGAGAAGAAGUGGAGGCUCCUGCUUUCGGGGACGAGACGUCCAUGACGGCGGCCUUGGCGGAACUCGUGACAGCGCUAGAAAGCGUUGUCCCGAAGUAUACCAGCCAAAUGAGGGAGACUGUGACCACCGGAGUCCAUAUUGGCGCGGCGCAUAUCCUCGCCUGCUUCAGGGCCAACUACCCGGAGCUGGACCUCGAGAACAUCCUUCGCCAUGGCGAGGCGAACUCGGGCCAUCUCCAAUUUGCGGAAGAGGUCGCCCCGAUCGCCGACAGCAUCCUCCCCUUCUAUCAGGGGUAAUUUUUAUAACCCAGUGGUCUUAAAAGGCCUUGUAAUAUUUAAACUCUUAAGUACUCGAUUCGGUACUCUGUGAG
Molecule: long non-coding RNA, 713 nt
Filed under: Oryza sativa aromatic subgroup
Lineage: Eukaryota; Viridiplantae; Streptophyta; Magnoliopsida; Poales; Poaceae
Description: lncRNA OsARC_08g0022220
Source: RNAcentral